UGCCAGCCGCCGCGGUAAUACGGAGGGUGCAAGCGUUGUUCGGAUUUACUGGGCGUAAAGGGCGCGUAGGCGGUUUUCCAAGCCAAGGGUGAAAUCCCGGAGCUCAACUCCGGAACUGCUCUUGGAACUGGGAGACUAGAGACAAGCAGAGGCAGGUGGAAUUCCAGGUGUAGAGGUGAAAUCCGUAGAUAUUCGAAGGAACACCAGUGGCGAAGGCGGCUUUCUGGACCGAUACUGACGCUGAGACGCGAAAGCGUGGGGAGCAAACAGGAUUAGAUA
This 279-nucleotide ribosomal RNA is filed under the name uncultured bacterium. Its description in RNAcentral is "partial 16S ribosomal RNA". It matches the Rfam family "Bacterial small subunit ribosomal RNA", at positions 506 to 784 of the family's 1533-position model. The record is from RNAcentral.